AUGGAACAAUGGUUCCAGUUGGAGGAAAUUGCCAAAAGCAUUACCUUUACUGCCGAGCCGGAUGCCCUGAUUUGGCAGCUGGAUAAUAAGGGGAAGUAUUCCUCCAGCUCCCUCUAUCAUGUUAUCAACUUUAGAGGGGUUCAACUCGUGUUUAUCCCUGCUGUCUGGAAAUUGAGAGUUCCCCCUAAAAUUCAUGUAUUUCUCUGGCUUCUCUCCAAAAACAAAUCGAUGACUAAGGAUAACCUUAGGAAGAGACACAUCAUCAAACCCCUUGAUUGUGUUUACUGCUUGGAACAAGAGUCUUGUUCUCACCUAUUUUUUGAAUGUAUAGUUGCUAAACAUCUCUGGGCCCACAUUGAGAAAUAUUUCUCUAGUCAGAUUGGCUCAUCCUUCGAAUCUGUCGCCAGAUUCUGGAUUGCUACCAAAAAGUGCUCAGUUUCAAACACGGUUAGCUCAGCUGUCCUUUGGUGCCUUUGGAAAUAUAGAAAUGCUAUGAUUUUCAGUAACACCUCCUGCAUUUCCAUUCCGUAG
This 531-nucleotide ribosomal RNA is filed under the name Triticum aestivum (bread wheat). Its description in RNAcentral is "partial small subunit ribosomal RNA". Lineage: Eukaryota; Viridiplantae; Streptophyta; Magnoliopsida; Poales; Poaceae. The record is from RNAcentral.